This 468-nucleotide ribosomal RNA is filed under the name uncultured bacterium. RNAcentral describes it as "partial 16S ribosomal RNA". It matches the Rfam family "Bacterial small subunit ribosomal RNA", at positions 28 to 507 of the family's 1533-position model. The record is from RNAcentral.
GACGAACGCUGGCGGCGUGCUUAACACAUGCAAGUCGAACGGAAAGGCCCUUCUUUUGUGGGUUGCUCGAGUGGCGAACGGGUGAGUAACACGUGAGUAACCUGCCCUUGACUUUGGGAUAACUUCAGGAAACUGGGGCUAAUACCGGAUAGGAUCUCCUGCUGCAUGGUGGGGGUUGGAAAGUUUCGGCGGUUGGGGAUGUACUCGCGGCUUAUCAGCUUGUUGGUGGGGUAGUGGCUUACCAAGGCUUUGACGGGUAGCCGGCCUGAGAGGGUGACCGGCAACAUUGGGACUGAGAUACGGCCCAGACUCCUACGGGAGGCAGCAGUGGGGAAUAUUGCACAAUGGGCGGAAGCCUGAUGCAGCAACGCCGCGUGCGGGAUGACGGCCUUCGGGUUGUAAACCGCUUUCGCCUGUGACGAAGCGUGAGUGACGGUAAUGGGUAAAGAAGCACCGGCUAACUACGUG